This 281-nucleotide unclassified non-coding RNA is filed under the name Hevea brasiliensis (rubber tree). Lineage: Eukaryota; Viridiplantae; Streptophyta; Magnoliopsida; Malpighiales; Euphorbiaceae. The record is from RNAcentral.
UAUGCUUCAUGUACAUCAGCAACAUCAAAAUACAACAUCAAAAUACAGCCAUUCCGAUAAUAUGCAUGCUUUCCCAGUAAACUUUGGCCUUAAAGGAGAGGCUCUGAGCUCUACUUCCGACGUUGCUUUGUUUGGAAGGUGUUGCUAAAACUCAUGGGAGGCCAAAUGAACAUCGUAAGGUUUUGAAGGUACAGUCCUUUUGAGUUUUAGUUGGUAGUAUCCACUAGGAUAUGUAUAAAACUACUAACUUGGUCUUUGUUCGUGCCACGGGCAAGUGUUUG